Molecule: ribosomal RNA, 93 nt
Filed under: Salmonella enterica subsp. enterica serovar Infantis
Lineage: Bacteria; Pseudomonadati; Pseudomonadota; Gammaproteobacteria; Enterobacterales; Enterobacteriaceae
Also listed under: 8 other names
Description: partial 16S ribosomal RNA
Rfam family: Bacterial small subunit ribosomal RNA
Source: RNAcentral
AAAUUGAAGAGUUUGAUCAUGGCUCAGAUUGAACGCUGGCGGCAGGCCUAACACAUGCAAGUCGAACGGUAGCACAGAGAGCUUGCUCUCGGG